Molecule: long non-coding RNA, 226 nt
Organism: Anoplophora glabripennis (Asian longhorned beetle)
Lineage: Eukaryota; Metazoa; Arthropoda; Insecta; Coleoptera; Cerambycidae
Exons: 3
Source: RefSeq, a predicted model, not a curated record
AGCAUAGCGACAUUACCUUAAUAUUUUUUUUAUUUUUUAGAAUCACCGACAUCACAGCAGCCGAUGCCUUCGGCUGCGUUGAUCCAACAAUAUCACACGAGGGCCCGUAUAUUAGACCAUAUGAUCCAUCAGUUCCACCACCGAGGCACUUCAUUAGAAGGUUCUCGGUGGAUGGAACUCGAUAUAUAUGUUAUAUUUAAAAAGUAAAAAUAAAAAAUUAAAUUUA